RNAcentral lists this ribosomal RNA (461 nucleotides) under uncultured bacterium. RNAcentral describes it as "partial 16S ribosomal RNA". It matches the Rfam family "Bacterial small subunit ribosomal RNA", at positions 338 to 795 of the family's 1533-position model. The record is from RNAcentral.
CCUACGUGUGGCAGCAGUGAGGAAUAUUGGUCAAUGGGCGCGAGCCUGAACCAGCCAAGUCGCGUGAGGGAAGACGGCCCUACGGGUUGUAAACCUCUUUUGCCGGGGAGCAACGGGCGCCACGUGUGGCGCCACGGAGAGUACCCGGAGAAAAAGCAUCGGCUAACUCCGUGCCAGCAGCCGCGGUAAUACGGAGGAUCCGAGGGUUAUCCGAAUUUAUUGGGUUUAAAGGGAGCGUAGAUGGGUUGUUAAGUCAGUUGUGAAAGUUUGCGGCGCAACCGUAAAAUUGCAAUUGAUACGGGCAGUCUUGAGUACAGUUGAGGUAGGCGGAAUUCGUGGUGUAGCGGUGAAAUGCUUAGAUAUCACGAAGAACUCCGAUUGCGAAGGCAGCUUACUAAACUGCCACUGACAUUGAUGCUCGAAAGUGUGGGUAUCAAACAGGAUUAGAUACCCUUGUAGUC